UCUCCUGGAAAACGGGUGGUAAUGCCGGAUGCUCCAGCUGACCGCAUGGUUUGUUGGGAAAGCUUUCGCGGUAUGGGAUGGGGUCGCGUCCUAUCAGCUUGACGGCGGGGUAACGGCCCACCGUGGCUUCGACGGGUAGCCGGCCUGAGAGGGCGACCGGCCACAUUGGGACUGAGAUACGGCCCAGACUCCUACGGGAGGCAGCAGUGGGGAAUAUUGCACAAUGGGCGCAAGCCUGAUGCAGCGACGCCGCGUGAGGGAUGGAGGCCUUCGGGUUGUAAACCUCUUUUAUCGGGGAGCAAGCGAGAGUGAGUUUACCCGUUGAAUAAGCACCGGCUAACUACGUGCCAGCAGCCGCGGUAAUACGUAGGGUGCAAGCGUUAUCCGGAAUUAUUGGGCGUAAAGGGCUCGUAGGCGGUUCGUCGCGUCCGGUGUGAAAGUCCAUCGCUUAACGGUGGAUCCGCGCCGGGUACGGGCGGGCUUGAGUGCGGUAGGGGAGACUGGAAUUCCCGGUGUAACGGUGGAAUGUGUAGAUAUCGGAAAGAACACCA
This 551-nucleotide ribosomal RNA is filed under the name Bifidobacterium longum subsp. suillum. RNAcentral's name for it is "bacterial SSU rRNA". It matches the Rfam family "Bacterial small subunit ribosomal RNA", at positions 146 to 711 of the family's 1533-position model. Lineage: Bacteria; Bacillati; Actinomycetota; Actinomycetes; Bifidobacteriales; Bifidobacteriaceae. The record is from RNAcentral.